AUGGAGGAGUGGUUCUUAAGCUUGUGUUUCGCAACAGCAUGCACGCUACUAGCCCUUUUGUUUGUCAGGCUGUCCGGCGGCAAUAGCAGGCCGGCCGCCAAAAAGCAGCUGCCUCCAGGUCCAUGGACUCUCCCCAUCAUCGGCAGCCUCCACCACGUCAUCAGCCUCCUCCCGCAUCGCGCGAUGAUGAAGCUAUCUCGCAGGCACGGGCCGUUGAUGGUCCUCAGGCUAGGCGAGGUCCCCAUCGUGGUUGUCUCGAGCGCCGAGGCAGCGGCGCUGGUGAUGAAGACCAACGACCUUUCGUUCGCCGACCGGCCGCGCAGCGUUACGGUGGACAUCUUCGGCUGCGGAGGCAACGACGUGGCCUUCGCCGCCUACGGUGACCACUGGCGUCAGAUGCGCAAGAUCUGCGUCAUGGAGCUCCUCAGCUUGACGCAGGUGAAGCGCAUGGAGGGCAUCAGGGCUGACGAGGUGGGCAGCCUCCUCCGCAACAUCGUGGCCACCGCAUCGACCGGUGCCCCCAUCAACGUCAGCGAGAAGGUGAUGGCGCUCAGCAACGACGUGGUGACGCGUGCGGUUUUCGGCGGCAAAUUUGCACAGCAGUGCGAGUACCUCCACGAGUUGAAAGAGGUGUUGAGGCUGCUGGGCAGCUUCUCUCCGGUUGACCUCUUCCCCUCAUCGCGGCUGGUGCGGUGGCUGAGCAGCGAUGAGCGCCACAUGAAGAGAAGCUAUGGCCGCAUACAGCGCAUCAUUGCCAAUGUCAUCGAGGAGCGCAAGGCGGUGCCAGCCUCCAUCGCCGGGGAUGAGGACCUGCUGGACGUGCUGCUCAGGCUGCAGCACGAGGACUCGCUGGAAUUCCCUCUAACCACGCAAACAAUAGGCGCAGUCUUGUUCGACAUAUUUGCAGCUGCUACGGACACUACAGGAACCACGUUGGCAUGGGCCAUGUUUGAGCUUAUGCAUAGUCGUGAGACUAUGGAAAAAACACAACAAGAAGUACGUGAGGUGUUGGGUGAGAACAAAGCUCUCAUUACCAAUAGUGACAUCCCUAAACUCCAGUCGGUGCAGAUGGUCAUCAAGGAAACCCUUAGGUUGCAUCCACCCGCUCCUCUAGUUCCACGCGCAGCCAGAGAGGAUUGUAUUAUCAUGGGUUAUGAUAUCCCUAAAGGUAUCAAUGUAUACAUUAAUCUAUUCUCAAUCUCCCAUGAUCCUGCAUAUUGGAACAGUCCUGGAGAGUUUAGACCGGAGAGGUUUGAGAACAACAACGUGAACUACAAUGGGACAUACUUUGAGUUCAUUCCCUUUGGAACUGGGCGACGACAAUGCCCAGGGAUUCAAUUUGGCUCGUCACUCAUGGAGAUGGCACUAACAAACUUUAUGUAUCACUUCAACUGGAAGCUUCUUGAUGGAGCUAGCCUUGAUUCAGUUGACAUGUCCGAGAAAUUUGGGAUUACGGUAAGCAGAAGGUAUGACCUGAAACUCGGAGCUAUUCCACACGUGUGGCCCAAUGCUAUGUCAUCCGACUGA
Molecule: ribosomal RNA, 1527 nt
Filed under: Triticum aestivum (bread wheat)
Lineage: Eukaryota; Viridiplantae; Streptophyta; Magnoliopsida; Poales; Poaceae
Description: partial small subunit ribosomal RNA
Source: RNAcentral